This 459-nucleotide ribosomal RNA is filed under the name uncultured bacterium. RNAcentral describes it as "partial 16S ribosomal RNA". It matches the Rfam family "Bacterial small subunit ribosomal RNA", at positions 338 to 795 of the family's 1533-position model. The record is from RNAcentral.
CCUACGGGAGGCUGCAGUGAGGAAUAUUGGUCAAUGGGAGAGAUCCUGAACCAGCCAAGCCGCGUGAGGGAAGACGGCCCUAUGGGUUGUAAACCUCUUUUGUCGGAGAACAAAACCCGGGACGUGUCCCGGACUGCGUGUAUCCGAAGAAAAAGCAUCGGCUAACUCCGUGCCAGCAGCCGCGGUAAUACGGAGGAUGCGAGCGUUAUCCGGAUUUAUUGGGUUUAAAGGGUGCGUAGGCGGUAGGUGAAGUCAGCGGUAAAAUUGCGGGGCUCAACCCCGUCGAGCCGUUGAAACUGGCAGACUGGAGUGGGCGAGAAGUACGCGGAAUGCGCGGUGUAGCGGUGAAAUGCAUAGAUAUCGCGCAGAACUCCGAUUGCGAAGGCAGCGUACCGGCGCCAGACUGACGCUGAGGCACGAAAGCGUGGGGAUCGAACAGGAUUAGAUACCCGAGUAGUC